This is a long non-coding RNA of Amphimedon queenslandica, 462 nucleotides long. RefSeq lists it as uncharacterized. The transcript has 3 exons. NCBI's taxonomy places the organism in Eukaryota, Metazoa, Porifera, Demospongiae, Haplosclerida, Niphatidae. The record is from RefSeq and is a predicted model, not a curated record.
CGGACCUUAUACAGUCAUGAAAUGCUGUUGAUCCUAACAGGUGUACCUGUUGUUUGUGUAUAAUUGUAUAGGAAGUAUAUGUAAGGAACAUAUGUAGUCGGUUAGGUCAUAACUAGACUCUAGAGUACUAAGAGUAGCGUCCUUUGUAAUUCUCUUGGUUGAACUCAUUGCUAAAUUGUUAUGUGUCCUUGAUGUCCUGCAUCUUAUUGAGCUAAUGUUACUAUUAUUGUGUGAAGGAAGGAAAGCUCUACCAAAGAACCACUAGCCAUUAGAUUCAGUUAUUAAUGAUUUAGGUAUUGAUAUUAAUCAUUAUGCAUGAUGUUGGUCAAACUCUAUUGAAUUGGGCAUCAGCAUUUGUUACACUUCAAAUGGUUGAAUAUUUGCUGGAGAAUGGUGCUGAUGUUAAUCGUGGCUUAAAGUCAUCAUCUUUACAUUAUGCAGCUUGUUUCUGUCAUCCUAGCA